RNAcentral lists this non-coding RNA (488 nucleotides) under uncultured Prevotella sp. The record is from RNAcentral. Lineage: Bacteria; Pseudomonadati; Bacteroidota; Bacteroidia; Bacteroidales; Prevotellaceae.
GGCGCGGACGCUGACGGUAGACUCCUGCUCGUCCAGUAAAUCAGCCUCGCCGAAAUACUCGCCGUCGCCCAAUAGAGCAAUCCGUAAGUCCUCACCGUGAGGGCCUUUGCUGAUGACCUCGGCCUGUCCGCUGGCUACGAUGAAGAAGCGUUGCUUAUCCUUGCCCUCCUCUACGAAGAACUUAUCCACAUCGACCUCUUUGGCCUCGAACGAGCUGACCAGACGGUUCAGAAUCUCGUCGUCGAAUUCAGAGAACAAGGGGAUGGCCUUCAGGUUCUUUGCUGUAAACGACGGUACGCCGUUCACAUACUGGAUGGGAAGGCGGUCGUUCUUGCGAAGUUCGACCUUCGUGCGGUUCACGCGGAACGUGCCGCCGCUGACCUGCACCCAGGGUAAUAACUUAAGGAGUAAUCUUGGGGUGAUAGAGCCCAUCUGCGGGGCGGUCUUGGUGGUGGUUGCCAGUCUUCUGGCGGUUGCUGUAGUUACAC